RNAcentral lists this ribosomal RNA (468 nucleotides) under uncultured bacterium. RNAcentral describes it as "partial 16S ribosomal RNA". It matches the Rfam family "Bacterial small subunit ribosomal RNA", at positions 28 to 507 of the family's 1533-position model. The record is from RNAcentral.
GAUGAACGCUGGCGGCGUGCUUAACACAUGCAAGUCGAACGGAAAGGCCCAAGCUUGCUUGGGUACUCGAGUGGCGAACGGGUGAGUAACACGUGGGUGAUCUGCCCUGCACUUCGGGAUAAGCCUGGGAAACUGGGUCUAAUACCGGAUAGGACGAUGGUUUGGAUGCCAUUGUGGAAAGUUUUUUCGGUGUGGGAUGAGCUCGCGGCCUAUCAGCUUGUUGGUGGGGUAAUGGCCUACCAAGGCGUCGACGGGUAGCCGGCCUGAGAGGGUGUACGGCCACAUUGGGACUGAGAUACGGCCCUGACUCCUACGGGAGGCAGCAGUGGGGAAUAUUGCACAAUGGGCGCAAGCCUGAUGCAGCGACGCCGCGUGGGGGAUGACGGCCUUCGGGUUGUAAACUCCUUUCGCUAGGGACGAAGCGUUUUUGUGACGGUACCUGGAGAAGAAGCACCGGCUAACUACGUG